Molecule: ribosomal RNA, 655 nt
Filed under: Amphisamytha carldarei
Lineage: Eukaryota; Metazoa; Annelida; Polychaeta; Terebellida; Ampharetidae
Description: eukaryotic LSU rRNA
Rfam family: Eukaryotic large subunit ribosomal RNA
Source: RNAcentral
GAAAGUUGAAAAGAACUUUGAAGAGAGAGUUCAAUAGUACGUGAAACCGUUUAGAGGUAAACGGAUGGGACCGCAUUGUCUCCCCUCGGAAUUCAACCCUCCAGUCGUCGUUCGGCGGCGCGUCGCGAUCCUCCGGGGCGCGCACGUCGUCGAGUCGUCGUCGGUGGGCGCACUUUCCUUGGGACUAACGCCAGGACCGGUUCGUGCGGUGGCCAGAAGCCGCCGGGGGCAAGGUAGCCGUCCGCUGGGGGACGGCGCUUAGGCCCCUGCGGUGGGCUGCACCCGCGGACCGAGGAACACCCGCCGUAGCACGGGCCCCUCUCCCUCUCGGUCGUGUCGACUUGCGUGGACUGUUUGCAGUGCUCGCAGACCGCCGGCGGUGCAGUGGCGGGGAUCGCCGGUGUCGACACCCAGGGUCUCUGGCUAAUCGGUCGGCACCCCAUCCGACCCGUCUUGAAACACGGACCAAGGAGUCUAACAUGUGCGCGAGUCACUGGGCGGCAAACCCACAGGCGCAAUGAAAGUGAAGUUCGGCCUCGGUCGGACCAGGUAGGAUCCCCUUCCCUAGGUCGGGGCGCACUACCAGCCCGUCUUAAUCUCUAGUAGGUGAGGCGGAGCAAGAGCGUACACGUUGGGACCCGAAAGAUUGGUGAAC